RNAcentral lists this long non-coding RNA (931 nucleotides) under Oryza brachyantha (malo sina). RNAcentral describes it as "long non-coding RNA (OBRA_LNC000606)". Lineage: Eukaryota; Viridiplantae; Streptophyta; Magnoliopsida; Poales; Poaceae. The record is from RNAcentral.
GGCAAACUGAGAGCCAACCUAAUAGCCCGUUUAUUAUAUAUGUGAUGGCUGUUAGAAGACUGUUGAUGAUAUGGCAGAAUUAAAUAGCCCGCUACUGGCUAACUUAUUAAACUUGCUCUAACUCCUCGUUGGUUCUAGCAGUCGACUAGAGUGCAUUUCAACGAUUAACCAUCAUAACCAGUUCCACGUUGCUACGUACGCUAGACCUAAUAAUACUGCCCACGAGUUCACCAACCGUGUUCAAUCGAGAGCAUCGGCCUCCACCGAAAAUAAAUCAUGGAGAGAGCAAAACCGUAUGAUGAACAGGCCCCCCAAGAUGUCACCUCAGAGAAUUUGAAGGAGGGGCCAGGACUGGAAGAGGAGGCAGCAACAUGCCAACGGCGAUGGCAAGCUGCUGGCAUGCCAUCCAUCGGCAUGCCCAAGAAAGGUGACCAGUCUAGUGGCCCUUGCCUGCCUGGCGCUCAUUCCUCGUUGCCCCCACAAUCUCUGCUAAAGCGAAGGGGAGAAAGCAAUCAAAGGAAGCCAAAGCGAUGUGAUGUCGCUGCCCGGCCUUCUCCCUGCUGCGACGGUUGCUUUGAUCCAAUGCAACGUCCAAAAGCAAAAGCAAAGCACAGAAGGAAACAGUGGGAGUGAGAGCAGGCAAGCUGCUGCAUACCGAGACGUUAUUCCAAGCUCGCAUUGAACUGCUCCAAAGAGAUCCCAAAGCACUCGCCUUUCUCGCGCCCCGAUGCGUUCAAAGAUCUCCGCGAGAAAAAAAAACAGAAUGAAAAGAUGGCCAAACACAAUCAUAGCAAUGCCUAGCUUGCAAAUACGAAAAGGAAUUUGUGCAAUUCAAAUCCGGGGCCUCCUACCUCCAUCAUAAAAGGACCACACUGCCUCAGAGCUCAUGGCGACAUUUCCAUCACUUAAGGUCAUUUUCCUUGUCAACAAG